This 90-nucleotide non-coding RNA is filed under the name Dethiosulfovibrio peptidovorans. Its description in RNAcentral is "SAM-I sequence". It matches the Rfam family "SAM riboswitch aptamer (S box leader)". From Rfam's summary of the family: The SAM riboswitch is found upstream of a number of genes which code for proteins involved in methionine or cysteine biosynthesis in Gram-positive bacteria. RNAcentral also lists the same sequence under 1 other name. The record is from RNAcentral. Lineage: Bacteria; Thermotogati; Synergistota; Synergistia; Synergistales; Dethiosulfovibrionaceae.
UGUUUAUCCAGAGUCGGGGGAGAGAGUCAGCUCGCAGAUCCCGCACCAACCUGCUUUAUGGCAAGGUGGUCCUGCUGACAUCGAUGAGGA